RNAcentral lists this ribosomal RNA (449 nucleotides) under uncultured bacterium. Its description in RNAcentral is "bacterial SSU rRNA". It matches the Rfam family "Bacterial small subunit ribosomal RNA", at positions 39 to 507 of the family's 1533-position model. The record is from RNAcentral.
AUGAACGAGACGUUGCUUAACACAUCAAGUCGAACGAUCCCUUUUUUGGAUGGGUUAGUGCAGACGGGUGUGUAACACGUAGGCACUGCCAUAAAGUGGGGAAUAACUAUCCUAAAGGAGAGUUAAUACCGCAUAUGCUCCGUGGUUCGUUCUCCCGAGUAAAGCUCGCAAGGGCGCCUUAGGAUGGGCAUGCGGCGGAUCAGCUAGUUGGUGGGGUAAUGGCCUACCAAGUCGAUGAUCCGUAGCGGGCGUGAGAGCGUGGCCCCCCACAUCGGCAGUGAGAUACGGGCCAGACUCUUACGGGAGGCAGCAGUGAGGAAUAUUGCACAAUGGGCGAAAGCCUGAUGCGGCAACGCCGCCGAGGGACGAAGGCCUUCGGGUUGUAAACCUCUUCUAUGGGGGACGAGACAAGGACGGUACCUCAGGAAUAAGUCUCGGCUAAAUACGUG